GGUGGAGCAUGUGGUUUAAUUCGAUGCAACGCGAAGAACCUUACCUGGGCUUGACAUCCCGGGAACCCCCUGGAAACAGGGGGGUGCCCUUCGGGGAACCCGGAGACAGGUGCUGCAUGGCUGUCGUCAGCUCGUGUCGUGAGAUGUUGGGUUAAGUCCCGCAACGAGCGCAACCCUUCCCUUUAGUUGCCAUCAUUCAGUUGGGCACUCUAAAGGGACUGCCGGUGUCAAGCCGGAGGAAGGUGGGGAUGACGUCAAGUCCUCAUGGGCCUUUACUGCCCAGGGCUACACACGUGCUACAAUGGGCGGUACAAAGAGAAGCGAUCCCGCGAGGGGGAGCAAAUCUCAAAAAGCCGUCCUCAGUUCGGAUUGCAGUCUGCAACUCGACUGCAGGAAGUCGGAAUCGCUAGUAAUCGC
RNAcentral lists this ribosomal RNA (417 nucleotides) under uncultured delta proteobacterium. Its description in RNAcentral is "bacterial SSU rRNA". It matches the Rfam family "Bacterial small subunit ribosomal RNA", at positions 931 to 1345 of the family's 1533-position model. The record is from RNAcentral. Lineage: Bacteria; Deltaproteobacteria.